This 301-nucleotide ribosomal RNA is filed under the name uncultured bacterium. RNAcentral's name for it is "partial 16S ribosomal RNA". It matches the Rfam family "Bacterial small subunit ribosomal RNA", at positions 509 to 807 of the family's 1533-position model. The record is from RNAcentral.
CAGUAGCCACGGUAAUACGUAGGGUGCGAGCGUUAAUCGGAAUUACUGGGCGUAAAGCGUGCGCAGGCGGUUGUGUAAGACAGGUGUGAAAUCCCCGGGCUUAACCUGGGAACUGCGCUUGUGACUGCACAGCUAGAGUAUGGCAGAGGGGGGUGGAAUUCCACGUGUAGCAGUGAAAUGCGUAGAGAUGUGGAGGAACGCCGAUGGCGAAGGCAGCCCCCUGGGCCAAUACUGACGCUCAUGCACGAAAGCGUGGGGAGCAAACAGGAUUAGAUACCCCCGUAGUCCCUGUCUCUUAUAC